UGGCUGCAUGAAUGUCUUCCUUUGAUAAGUGUCUGUUCAUAUCUUUUGCCCGCUUUUUGAUGGAAGACAGUGUGGCCAUUCCUCAAGGAUCUAGAGCCAGAAAUGAAAUACCAUUUGGCCCAGCAGUCCCAUCAUGGGGUAUAUACCCAAAGGAAUAGAAAUCAUUCUACUAGGAAAACACAUCCAAACCCAUGUUUAUUGCAGCACUGUUUACAAUAGCAAAGACAUGGAACCAACCCAAUGCUCAUCAGUGAGAGACUGUAUAAAGAAAAUGUGCCACAUAUACACCAUGGAAUACUAUGCAGCCAUAAAAAGGAAUGCGAUCAUAUCCUUUGCAGGAACGUGGAUGAAGCUGGAAGCCAUCAUCCUCAGCAAACUAAUACAGGAACAGAAAACCAAACAGGACAUGUUCUCACUCAUAAGUCGGAGUUGAACAAUGAGAACACUUGGAUACGUGGAGGGGAAUAACACACACUGGGGCCGGUUGAGGAGUUGGGGGCGAGGGGAGGGAGAGCAUUAGCACAAAUAGCUAAUGCAUGCGGAGCUUAAAACGUAGAUGGCAGGUUGAUAGGUGCAGCAAACCAUGGCACACGUAUACCUACGUAGCAAAGCUGCACAUUCUGCACUUAUAUCCUGGAACUUAAAGUAAAAUUAAAAAAAAAAUCUAUAGAAAAAAGUUAAGCAUUUU
Molecule: long non-coding RNA, 688 nt
Organism: Homo sapiens (human)
Lineage: Eukaryota; Metazoa; Chordata; Mammalia; Primates; Hominidae
Source: Ensembl